This 433-nucleotide ribosomal RNA is filed under the name uncultured bacterium. RNAcentral's name for it is "partial 16S ribosomal RNA". It matches the Rfam family "Bacterial small subunit ribosomal RNA", at positions 29 to 507 of the family's 1533-position model. The record is from RNAcentral.
AACGAACGCUGGCGGCAUGCCUAACACAUGCAAGUCGAACGAGACCUUCGGGUCUAGUGGCGCACGGGUGCGUAACGCGUGGGAACCUGCCCUUAGGUUCGGAAUAACUCCCCGAAAGGGGUGCUAAUACCGGAUAAUGUCUUCGGACCAAAGAUUUAUCGCCUUUGGAUGGGCCCGCGUUGGAUUAGCUAGUUGGUAGGGUAAAAGCCUACCAAGGCGACGAUCCAUAGCUGGUCUGAGAGGAUGAUCAGCCACACUGGGACUGAGACACGGCCCAGACUCCUACGGGAGGCAGCAGUGGGGAGUAUUGGACGAUGGGCGAAAGCCUGAUCCAGCAAUGCCGCGUGAGUGAUGAGGGCCUUAGGGUUGUAAAGCUCUUUUACCCGGGAUGAUAAUGACAGUACCGGGAGAAUAAGCUCCGGCUAACUCCGUG